UACGGAGGGGGUUAGCGUUGUUCGGAAUUACUGGGCGUAAAGGGCGCGUAGGCGGGCCAGCCAGUCAGAGGUGAAAUCCCAGGGCUCAACCCUGGAACUGCCUUUGAUACUGUUGGCCUAGAGUUCGAGAGAGGUGAGUGGAACUCCGAGUGUAGGGGUGAAAUUCGUAGAUAUUCGGAAGAACACCAGUGGCGAAGGCGACUCACUGGCUCGAUACUGACGCUGAGGCGCGAAAGCAUGGGUAGCAAACAGG
RNAcentral lists this unclassified non-coding RNA (253 nucleotides) under uncultured Rhodobacterales bacterium. RNAcentral describes it as "contains 16S-23S intergenic spacer region". It matches the Rfam family "Bacterial small subunit ribosomal RNA", at positions 524 to 776 of the family's 1533-position model. The record is from RNAcentral. Lineage: Bacteria; Pseudomonadati; Pseudomonadota; Alphaproteobacteria; Rhodobacterales.